AGAGUGGGCAAGCUAGAGAGAGAAAGGGAGAGAGAGGCUGCCAUUUUCUAGAGAGAAGGAAGAGAAAGAAAAGAGAAAACGUGAAGGAAGAAGAAGAGGAGGAAGAAGGGCUGGAGGUCUCUAAGGUUCUAAUCUCACAAGAGCAUAAGGAUUGUUGUUAGGGUUUCGGCCAACAAGAGGGUGUUGGAGCCUAGCAAACAAAACGGUGGCCAUAACUAUUUUUGGGUUCCUUGAUUUCUAUCAAAGGAGAUGGUUGUUAACAUGACGAACGCGACUCAACAAAAGGGGUUACUAAGGAUGUGAAGUGUAACCCAAGUUACUAAGGAUAAGAAGACGUAACUCAUAGGGUGGACGCGCUGAGGUUAUUCAAGGACCAGAGAUCCUGUUUACCUCAAGAUGUGACAUGUACAAGUUAGCGGGCCAUGUUCACAAAGAUAUGAUGAUGAUGUUUAUGAUGAUUAUGUUUAUGAUGGUUAUGGUAUG
Molecule: long non-coding RNA, 483 nt
Organism: Humulus lupulus (European hop)
Lineage: Eukaryota; Viridiplantae; Streptophyta; Magnoliopsida; Rosales; Cannabaceae
Exons: 4
Source: RefSeq, a predicted model, not a curated record